CAGCAGAAAGCGUCUCCAGAAAAAACCCAAAACAUAUGUCUCCCUUCAAAAGAAAAAUCUGCUUUUUCACAGCUACAAAGGAUUGAAAACAAAUUUUGUCAUCAAAUGUGGAGCUGUGCCAAAUCACAGGCAGCCAGAAGAAAGCUUUGGCACGAAAAGAGCUUUGAUGGCGAGAGGAAGAAAGAUGAAACAGCUUUGAGUGAGAGAAAGAGCAACGAGAUUGUUCCAGCCCAAAGAGAGAGAAGCUCUGCUGUUCCCUCCCCUGCUCACUCACAGACCUGCUUGCCUGGGAGCCCUGCUGUGAUCUCUGGUCCAUCCAGAAUGUCCCCUCUGUCCCCCAGGGCAGCCUCGGGACGCUGCAGGAAUUGGGCAGCGCAUGGAAAAGGCUCAGCUGGGACAUGGGUGCCUGCAAAGAGCCUGCACAGCCCAAGAAGGGACAAUUUCAGGGAGCUGGGAGGUUCAAGAGGAUUCCCAGCACAGAAGGAGGAAUCUCCCUGCUGCCUGCACGGCCCACCUUGCUGCCCUGCAGGGAGCAGCCCCUGCUCUGUCACUCCUGUGCCCAUGGCUCUCCUGCUUCCCACAUCCCUCCUGGCAGCAGCCAGCAAGGCCAGAGACCAGAGGCUGGAAGGGCUGUGGGGAAAAUCACCCCAAAAUAAAUUAGAGCAACUCAAGAAGAGGAUCCAGGAGCAGAAGAGAAAGCAGCAAACAGCACCCCGGGAGGAGGAGCGCCUGAUUUUUGUUAAAGACCCCCUGCCAAAGAGAGCCCUGAAAAGAAAGGUUUGCAGAGUGGCCUC
Zonotrichia leucophrys gambelii is the source of this 794-nucleotide long non-coding RNA. RefSeq lists it as uncharacterized. Lineage: Eukaryota; Metazoa; Chordata; Aves; Passeriformes; Passerellidae. The transcript has 3 exons. The record is from RefSeq and is a predicted model, not a curated record.